UGGUCGAGUGAUCCUGCGCCGAAGAUUUCCGGGGCUAAAACUUACUACCGAAGCUACGGCAUCAGUAAUGAUGGGGAGGGGAGCUUCCCAUACGGGUUGAAGCAUGACCGUAAGGACAUGUGGACAGCAUGGGAGGGAGAAUGUUGGCAUGAGUAGCGAGAUGUGGGUGAGAAUCACACAGGCCGUAAACCCAAGGUUUCCAGGGGAAGGUUCGUCCGCCCUGGGUUAGUCGGGACCUAAGCUGAGGCCGAAAGG
RNAcentral lists this ribosomal RNA (255 nucleotides) under Clostridioides difficile. RNAcentral's name for it is "partial 23S ribosomal RNA". It matches the Rfam family "Bacterial large subunit ribosomal RNA", at positions 1146 to 1409 of the family's 2925-position model. The record is from RNAcentral. Lineage: Bacteria; Bacillati; Bacillota; Clostridia; Peptostreptococcales; Peptostreptococcaceae.